GCCUGGGGAUUGAGUUUGGAUCCAGGCCCGGUUCGUACAGAACUCCCACAGGAGCCUGGAGCUUUUCCCAUGGGCCCCCAAAAUCGCAGCAGAGUUCUUUGGGAUCCUGGUCCAAAAACACAGACAGCCACGGAUGUUGCAGCGCGCGCGGCUUGUUUGGCGCCACGGCGGUCUGCUGUUAUGGCUAGCGGGGAUACCGCCAGCAGCAGCCGAACGAUGGGCAGAGCUCUGCUUCCACUCCGGUAUCGGCCCUCAUCAGCAGCAAUCAGAGCGGCCCGAUAGCGCUAUCAGCAGCUGCAUCGGAUGGAUCUCCCUGCUCUUUCCUGCCUUCUCACACUUCUUCCUACCCUCAUCAGCUUCGCUCCUCCUCUUUCUCGUCUUUCCUCCUUCUCACCUCUCUCUCUGCAUCUCCUUCUUCUCCUCCUUUACAAAAAUUCCUGCAAUCAAUGUAGUGAUUUAACUUGAAUUUCAGGAAAUUCAAAUUAAGAUGCUUAGAUUGCGUUGUAAUUUAAACUUCAUCAAGUUUUGCGUGGCGCCCUGAUGUUUGGUUGCCAGCAGAGGGUUCAAAAGCAGGUACGAGAUCUCUUUAUAAAUUUAUUUUUAUUUGUGUCCUGUCGGCAGUGUAGCACUCAGAAUUACUGUCAGAGUACCAAGCUGAACCCAACAGAUUUGCUUUCACAAGUGGAGGGUUACAGCUGUGAUGCUCUGCAUCUGGAAAGUAUUCACAGCACUUCAUUUUUACAAAGUUUUUGCUAUAAUCUUAUUCCAAAUUGUACUGAAUUGAAAUUUUUAUCAGAAUUCUAGACACAAAUCCUAAUCUUGACAACUUGGACAAACAUUUAUGUCACAUUUGUGUCAUCAUUGUGCCAGCUCUUUAGAAAGGCCCUUUAAGAAUCUACAACGUCAAUUAACUAAAGCAUAACCUAAGAAAAAUUUUAGAAAAGUUGCUAUACCCUCAUGAGGUGGCUGUGGCUGUUUCUUUAUGUUAUUUCUGGAUUCUAUUAUUUUUUUGAGUGUUAAUACAAAUUGUAUGAAAAUAAACACUUUCCUCAAAGUUUUACAUGCAAAUAUCCCGUUAUGUUAAUGUGGAAGGUUUUUUUAGUGUUUUAAAAUUGUAUUAAAAAUAGCAAACCAAGAAAUGAAAUUUGUGUAAUUAUUCAGAGCCUCCAUGAAGCUCAGGUCAGGGGUUGAGGAGUAAAAUAAAAUUGAGCUACGAUAACACAAAAAAAAGUUACCAUAUAUUCUGUCUGCUAUUUAUAAUGGUGUUAAAAUAUUUUAACAUUUCUUUCCAUUAAGUGUAAUUUCUCUAAUUUCUCCAUUACUUCUAUGUCAAAGUGAUUUACUCCUUCUGGAUGUCAUGUAAUUCCGUUUUAGCAGAUCUACGACUACAGAACUGUAAAUGAUUUCCUUGAUUGAUGAAGGUGUACAAAUCAAAUUAUGGGAAGCAGCGAUGGCUGUUUGUUAAUGAAGCAUUGUCUAUAUCCUCUGCACACAAUGCAAAACAGUUCAUUACACAAACAGAACAUGGACAGGCACAUAGCAGCAGAAUGAUGGCACAUUAAACAUGGCGGUAAAGAUUUAUAGAUAACAUUAAGCUUUUGUGUAAAUCAAAACAAUUUCCUGUUUUGCUGACAUGUUGUUAUAAGAGUGAAUUGUUGAGCUGCUGGUUAUUGUUUAGAGCUGCACAAAAUCGGCAUCAUUAAGUGCAGGAAACCACUGUUCUAUAAAAAGGCAUCUGAAUUAUGUAAAAAAAAAAAAAAACAUUUAUCACUCUAAAUAUAACUGUCUAUGGAGUAUUUAGGUUGUAUUAUUGGUGGAAAUUGUUCAACAGUGAGA
This is a long non-coding RNA of Xiphophorus couchianus (Monterrey platyfish), 1836 nucleotides long. RefSeq lists it as uncharacterized. The transcript has 2 exons. NCBI's taxonomy places the organism in Eukaryota, Metazoa, Chordata, Actinopteri, Cyprinodontiformes, Poeciliidae. The record is from RefSeq and is a predicted model, not a curated record.